CAGCACCUCAAGUGGUCAGGAUGAUUAUUGGGCCUAAAGCAUCCGUAGCCGGCGCUGUAAGUUUUCGGUUAAAUCUGUACGCUCAACGUACAGGCUGCCGGGAAUACUGUACAGCUAGGGAGUGGGAGAGGUAGACGGUACUCGGUAGGAAGGGGUAAAAUCCUUUGAUCUAUUGAUGACCACCUGUGGCGAAGGCGGUCUACCAGAACACGUCCGACGGUGAGGGAUGAAAGCUGGGGGAGCAAACCGGAUUAGAUACCCGCGUAGUCC
Molecule: ribosomal RNA, 270 nt
Filed under: uncultured archaeon
Lineage: Archaea
Description: partial 16S ribosomal RNA
Rfam family: Archaeal small subunit ribosomal RNA
Source: RNAcentral